Molecule: ribosomal RNA, 492 nt
Filed under: uncultured bacterium
Lineage: Bacteria
Description: partial 16S ribosomal RNA
Rfam family: Bacterial small subunit ribosomal RNA
Source: RNAcentral
AGUGAACGCUGGCGGUAGGCCUAACACAUGCAAGUCGAACGGCAGCACAGUAAGAGCUUGCUCUUACGGGUGGCGAGUGGCGGACGGGUGAGGAAUACAUCGGAAUCUACUUUUUCGUGGGGGAUAACGUAGGGAAACUUACGCUAAUACCGCAUACGACCUACGGGUGAAAGCAGGGGAUCUUCGGACCUUGCGCGAUUGAAUGAGCCGAUGUCGGAUUAGCUAGUUGGCGGGGUAAAGGCCCACCAAGGCGACGAUCCGUAGCUGGUCUGAGAGGAUGAUCAGCCACACUGGAACUGAGACACGGUCCAGACUCCUACGGGAGGCAGCAGUAGGGAAUAUUGGACAAUGGGCGCAAGCCUGAUCCAGCCAUACCGCGUGGGUGAAGAAGGCCUUCGGGUUGUAAAGCCCUUUUGUUGGGAAAGAAAAGCAGCAGGUGAAUACCCCGCUGUUCUGACGGUACCCAAAGAAUAAGCACCGGCUAACUUCGUG